UACGUAGGGGGCUAGCGUUGUCCGGAAUCAUUGGGCGUAAAGCGCGUGUAGGCGGCCCGGUAAGUCCGCUGUGAAAGUCGGGGGCUCAACCCUCGGAUGCCGGUGGAUACUGUCGGGCUCGAGUACGGAAGAGGCGAGUGGAAUUCCUGGUGUAGCGGUGAAAUGUGUUGAUAUUGGAAGGAACGCCGGUGGCGAAAGCGACACACUGGACCUUGUCUGACGCUGAGGCACGAAAGCCAGGGGAGCAAACGGG
Molecule: ribosomal RNA, 253 nt
Filed under: uncultured bacterium
Lineage: Bacteria
Description: partial 16S ribosomal RNA
Rfam family: Bacterial small subunit ribosomal RNA
Source: RNAcentral